Serinus canaria (Common canary) is the source of this 548-nucleotide long non-coding RNA. RefSeq lists it as uncharacterized. The record is from RefSeq and is a predicted model, not a curated record. Lineage: Eukaryota; Metazoa; Chordata; Aves; Passeriformes; Fringillidae. The transcript has 3 exons.
UGAGGCUUCCCAGUCAUCAGGAGUGUCAAGAGGUACUGGACUAAUGCAUGGCUGGCAAGGCCAUUGGCACAUGGGAUACAAGUGUCCACAUGCACCCCCGGGCUCUGGGAGUGAUUGCCAGAAGCUGUGAGGCUGCAGCAAGGAAAGGAUCAGUCUACACAUGGAUCACUCUCUUCUAUGAGCAUCUGGUACUGGUCCUGUUGCAAGAUAAGAUGUGAGGCUGGAGGGCUCUGUGGUGUGGCUGUAUCAGGCUUUAUUGAGUAAUGUGUGAAUCCUCUUACCUCAGUGGAUCCAGUGAAAGCAAUUUUAUCAAUGCCAACGUGAGAGGCUAUGGCUGCACCAACAAUUGGACCAAAUCCUGGCAAAAUAUUGACAACUCCUGGUGGAAAACCAGCCUGUCAAAAUAGGAAUGAGUGAAGGAAUGGUCAUUCCAUGGAUUUUGUCUGCCCAACCAGCAUAAUACCUCAGGGUUUUUAUGACUCCCUGGAGAUCUACAUAGAAAGCUUGCAAAAACGGUUUGCCACUGUUCAGUGAUUCCAUAGUCUGCA